GCAUAGAUGUCAGGUAAGAGGAUAUAAGGGCAUGGGAAAAAGAGUAGCCAGGCAUCUCCUGAAAGGUUACAGCUAUUGCUAUUACAGUUCGUGUUGCACAGCAGAUGACAAUACAAGUUUUUAUAGCUUAAGUAUCUUACUCAUUUGAAUAACCAGUGAGUAAUAACUGAAUUGAAGGCUUGUCACUGAGAUUUCUUCCUCUGCCUAUCUUCCAAUUAGAAGUACUAAUUUUACUUAUUUUAUUCUAAUGUUUAGAAUUUAAUUUAUUGUUACCAUUUCCAUUACUGCCAAAUGGCUUCAAAAUGUUUUGCUACCAUGAAUAUGUGUCAAUGUUAAUCAGAGUUCUUCAGUGCUUUGAAUCCACAAACAUACCUGAUAUGAAAAACAGCUACUGUUCUUAUAAAUGAGAUAUUCAUAAUAAUUUCUUUGUUUGGAAAUGACACUAAUUCAACAUUUGCUGUAGUAGUAAAACUAUCUUAGGAUACUAUCAAGACAAGGCAGAUGCUUUGAUGGCAUGAAAAUAAAACUGGUUUGCACUUAUCUACCAAAGUCCAUUCUUAAGCUAAGACAAAAUUAAUCACUGCAGACAAGUACAAGCCUAAAGCAUAUCUUACUGUGUCAAAAUUAUGGUCACAAAAUGACAAGCAUUAAUACAAAGAUCUGUGGUGCAAAGUUGAAACAAUGUUGUGAUUAAUUAUACUGCCAGCAAUACAAGGAAAUAAACAUUGACCAAGUGAGAGUACUUUCUAAAGGCAGACAUCUCCAUCUUGACUUGUCUUAGAAAUGCCUGUUAGAAGCACUGUUGAAAUGACACUUGAUUUUUUAUCAAACCAGUUUUAUUCAGUUAUCAGAGAGUAAAUUAAUAGGGGAGUAGUGGAGAUACUGUGUUCACUGAAAUUUUCCAGUAGAAUUUUUAGAUUGUUUGCCUACAUAUAAUUUCUGGUUUUUCUGCACAACAGGCAGUUCAAAGCCAAGCUAGCUCAAAUCAAAUUGCAGGUGAAGUCUUCAGAGUUUCUAGAAGAAGAUGUAGCUAUUACUCAGAGUUCUGCCCAGCACACAGCCAGAGAAUGGAUGGUGAUUCCUCUCUCCUGCAAAUAGGCAGUAAUUUAUCCUAGCAUCCACAUGGGAAAUGAAUGAUUUAACCUUUUGGUUUUCUGAUUUUGAUGGUUCCAACUUCAUACUUGUACAAAAGAGGAUGAUUCCCAAGGUGGGUGGGAAGAGGAAUUUCCCUAUUCUUUUCAUUGCUUUGCUUAGGAAGGAAGACCACUGAAUUGGUACGACCCUGAUCAUACUUUAGGGUAAUCUCAGGAGAGCAAUAAACUACAUAUCAGCUUUAGUUGCUCAGAAGGGACUACAUGCCCCUAUCAUUCAUAUUUCACUUACAAAGCUGUAAGCUACAGUGCCAUUAUUUCUCUCUGCCUGGAGAAAAAUGAACAUUCUUACAUGACCUGUCUUCUCUUCCCUUAAUGAGGAAAAGAAGCAGUUAUAGCUCCAGAGGUUUUUUGUUUUUUUUUUUUUUUUUUCCUAUUACCAACAGCAAGGUCAGGGUUUAGAUGUAACCACAAUCAGUAAAACUGGUUAAGCACAAAAAGUGCUCAGAUGCAAGAGAUGAAGUCAUCAAAAAGCCCAGUGAAUUGGAGGGAUAGGAUUUGGUUCCCUAAAUACGAGCAGCUACUGCCAUUGGCUUUCCAGAAGGCUCUUCAGACAUGCAGAAGGAGCUGGCAGGUGUGUGCAGGAGCUCUGGGAGCUGUAACAGGGGAGCAGUGCUGCCAGGGAGGGGUUCCUGGCCCUGCUGUGCUGGCAGCCUCUGCCUGGUGCAGUUCCCGUCCGGGGCACGGCUUCCCUGGCCCGGGGGACUGUGUGCUGGGAUGCUCCCUGUCCUGCUGUCCCUCACUCCUCCUGUCCUGCUCCUGGCGUAAUGGCACUUUGGGGAACACCCAGCUGCCACUUCAAUCCUACCCAAAGGGCUGGCAGGGUGACCUUGCCUGCACAGCACCAUUUUCUGCUUCAUGUGCAACAACAGGAUUUUCUUGGAACUUGAUUUUCCCAAUUACAAAACAGACCUGCAACGAGUAUUGCUUUUAUAGAGCACAGAACCACAGGAGAAAGUCUGGAAAACAAACCAAAGCAGGAUCAUGUGAAGGAUGUGCUUGAUUAACUACAAAAAAAGACCUGUGGGAGGUGUGAUUUUUUAUGAAGAUUUUCAAGAAGAUGGCAAGGAACUAGAGACUGGCAAUUAGAACUUCUGCAGCAGGCAAGUUAAUGGAAAAUGUGAUGAAGAACAGAAUUAACAGUUGUGUCUGCAGAUGUGUAAAGG
This is a non-coding RNA of Lonchura striata (white-rumped munia), 2317 nucleotides long. NCBI's taxonomy places the organism in Eukaryota, Metazoa, Chordata, Aves, Passeriformes, Estrildidae. The record is from RefSeq and is a predicted model, not a curated record.